RNAcentral lists this ribosomal RNA (253 nucleotides) under uncultured bacterium. Its description in RNAcentral is "partial 16S ribosomal RNA". It matches the Rfam family "Bacterial small subunit ribosomal RNA", at positions 524 to 776 of the family's 1533-position model. The record is from RNAcentral.
UACGUAGGGUGCAAGCGUUAUCCGGAAUUAUUGGGCGUAAAGAGCUCGUAGGCGGUUUGUUGCGUCGGCUGUGAAAACCUGAGGCUCAACCUCAGGCCUGCAGUCGAUACGAGCAGACUAGAGUGUUGCAGGGGAGACUGGAAUUCCUGGUGUAGCGGUGAAAUGCGCAGAUAUCAGGAGGAACACCGGUGGCGAAGGCGGGUCUCUGGGCAACAACUGACGCUGAGGAGCGAAAGCGUGGGGAGCAAACAGG